Molecule: ribosomal RNA, 573 nt
Filed under: uncultured bacterium
Lineage: Bacteria
Description: bacterial SSU rRNA
Rfam family: Bacterial small subunit ribosomal RNA
Source: RNAcentral
CGGGAGGCAGCAGUAGGGAAUAUUGGUCAAUGGGCGAAAGCCUGAACCAGCCAUGCCGCGUGCAGGAUGAAGGCCCUCUGGGUCGUAAACUGCUUUUAUAUGGGAACAAAAAACCCCUGCGGGGCACCUUGACGGUACCUAACCAGAAAGCCACGGCUAACUACGUGCCAGCAGCCGCGGUAAUACGUAGGUGGCAAGCGUUAUCCGGAAUUAUUGGGCGUAAAGCGCGCGCAGGUGGUUUCUUAAGUCUGAUGUGAAAGCCCACGGCUCAACCGUGGAGGGUCAUUGGAAACUGGGAGACUUGAGUGCAGAAGAGGAAAGUGGAAUUCCAUGUGUAGCGGUGAAAUGCGUAGAGAUAUGGAGGAACACCAGUGGCGAAGGCGACUUUCUGGUCUGCAACUGACACUGAGGCGCGAAAGCGUGGGGAGCAAACAGGAUUAGAUACCCUGGUAGUCCACGCCGUAAACGAUGAGUGCUAAGUGUUAGAGGGUUUCCGCCCUUUAGUGCUGAAGUUAACGCAUUAAGCACUCCGCCUGGGGAGUACGGCCGCAAGGCUGAAACUCAAAGGAAUUG